RNAcentral lists this ribosomal RNA (549 nucleotides) under Barytelphusa sp. JP05. RNAcentral's name for it is "partial large subunit ribosomal RNA". It matches the Rfam family "Bacterial large subunit ribosomal RNA", at positions 1854 to 2638 of the family's 2925-position model. The record is from RNAcentral. Lineage: Eukaryota; Metazoa; Arthropoda; Malacostraca; Decapoda; Gecarcinucidae.
UAACCUGGCCCACUGGAUUGAAAAUAAGUUUUAAGGGCCGCGGUAUUAUGACCGUGCAAAGGUAGCAUAAUCAUUAGGUUUUUAAAUGGGAUCUUGUAUGAAUGGUUGAACAAAAGAAAGGCUGUCUUUAGAAUAAUGUUUGAAUUUAACUUUUAAGUGAGAAGGCUUAAAUAUUCUAGAGGGACGAUAAGACCCUAUAAAGCUUUAUAUUGUAAUUAUAUUUAAUUGAAUUUUAUAAAUAAGAAUUUAAUUUAAUUACUAUUAUUGUGUUGGGGAGACAAGAGUAAAAAUUAUAAUAACUGCUAUUAAGAUAAACAAUUAUAGAUGAUUUAUUAAAUAAAUGAUCCUGUAUGUAUAUAGAUUAAAAGAUUAAGUUACUUUAGGGAUAACAGUGUUAUUUUUUUUGAGAGUUCAUAUCGAAAAAGAAGUUUGCAACCUCGAUGUUGAAUUAAAAUGUCUGUAUAAUGUAGAUGUUAUAUGAGAAGGUCUGUUCGACCUUUAAAUUUUUACAUGAUUUGAGUUCAGAUCGGCGUGAGCCAGGUUGGUUUC